GGCAAAUGGGCUGAAAUGGUGAUUUUGCUUUAUCACCUUAAAACUGCUUGAAGUCCACAGUGAAAUGAAAACAUUAUCCUAAAAACUCUCACUAUCUUUUCAUGACAGAAGUUCCUGCAGAGCUGGAGAGAGACUGAGGAGCACAGAACAAACUGCCCUAGCUUCCCUGCACCAUCCUGGUUGCCUCAAUAAUUGCUAAAAUCUCCAUCAUGGUUUGUCCUCCUCCACCAUGGUGUUCCUUUCUCACCUGAAGUGCCACUUGCCUAAACCAUGGUGCCACAUGGGGUGCUUGUGAAGCAGCCCCAUGAUUUACCUUUACCUUGCCUACUUGUUUUUAAAUUGUCAGAGUAUCCUCUCAAGUUGUCGGUAAAAGGGUGAAAUGACUGGUUUUGCACAGGAAAUAGAUUUUACUUCUUUAAUAAGAAUUUUUACAUUAUUUCAUCUUUGGCAAACCAUGUGACAUUAGAUUAAGAUCUCAGCCUGAAGAACAGGCCUGAGAUCUGGCCACAUUUAAGUUUUUGAUAGAACUUGAUCAUCAAUUAAAUCCAAAGGCAAAAAAUAUAGCCUAAAAUGGACGCUCUUUUUAAAGUAAAAGAGUACAGCAGGCAAGAAAUAAUUUUUAUGAAAACUGAACUUCUGGGAGACCUUUUUUACUCUGAUCUGCUCUCUUGACCUCAGAGGUGAUGUCAGCAGCUUGGCCACUGAGCUGUCACAGCUGAAGUUGACUUCACUGGUGCUCGCUGCCAACAGACACAGUGGGAACUCUGCUCUCCUCACUGGUGCUCACUCCCCACAGACACAGCGGGAGCUCUGCUCUCCUCACUGGUGCUCGCUGCCCACAGACACAGCGGGAACUCUGCUCUCCUCACUGGUGCUCACUCCCCACAGACACAGCGGGAACUCUGCUCUCCUUGCAUGGUGCCUCACGCCGCAUCCGAACGCUCCCUCUGCUCCCAGCACAGCCCUACACGGCCAAGGCAGCAGCAAUCUUGCUCCUAGUCAGCAGAGAAGCUCUACCAUGGAAUCACUCAUGGAAGAAGAGGGUUCUGCAGCCAGGAUGCCUGUUUUGAGCACACCAGUCUCUUUCCCUGCUCUUUGGUUACCAGUUGAUCUUCACACAUCCACAGGAAGGUCUGAGGCUGCCUGUUGGCUUCUCUCAGAGGAAUGUCCUGAAUGGAGCUUGCUGUCAACACAGCUUUCAAGACAAAGAAGGGUUAGAUCUACUGGAAGGGAGAGGAAGGAGGCUGCAGACAUUGGAAAUCCAAGUUUGCAAGCAGCACUGUCAUUUCCAGGUCUCUUUUUGAAUCCGAAUUGUAAAAUUUUGGUCCCAUAGGAUCCACAGUAAGGAGAUCCCAACUUGUUUCCUGCUUGUUUUGAACACAGAUCCUACAAGUUUCUAGGCACGUUGUGCUUUGGUACCAAUUCGUUUUCCUGCCUGAAAUCCUGAACACUUCUUUAGAUGAGGGCUGCUCAACAGACAAAUAAACCUAAUUCUUCACCAAUGAUGACAUUCAUAUCUUGCAAAUGGAAUCCCCUACUCUUUAUCAUGGUAUAGCAGACCUCCGUCUCUUCUGCAGAGGGGUAAAUGGUCUCAAAUCAGAAAGAUAAAUAGAAGAUAAAGUUAUUCUUUGAGUUCAAAAUCAUGUAAAAGAUUUCAUAGUCUAAACAAAAAAAGUCUCACUUCAGCUAUGAGAAGCUAUGAGAAAGAGCAGAAGUAAAAAGGAUUAUUUACUCUGGAGUGGCGCUAGGCUUUCUAGUUUACAAUUAUUGAAAUUCUGAAUAAUACCUGUGAAUAAUGCCUAGUGAAUCAGGAAGAAUGGUAAAAAAAUCUUGGAUAUGUUCAUGGCUAGAAACCUAUAAAAGAUUAAAUUUCAAUAAAUAAAACCAUUUUUCUUUUGAUAAUUUCAAGUGCUUUGUUAUGGCUCUAAUAACUUCUUUUUUUUUUCCUGCCUACUGUAAUUAGCUGAUCUUAAAGACGUGCAAACAAGCUGCCACAAGUGUUUGGCUACUUAGUAAUAACUGUGCACCUUCCUACCCAUCAGUAAAUGUAAGAUCAUUUACUUCCAAGAGGGGGAAUUCAGAAGAGGGAUAGGCAACCUCAAAUUACCACACAUUUAUAACCAUGUACAAGACUCCCCACAGGCUGUUACCACAGAUGAGCUAAAUUACUGCAACUUCAGGCUCCAGCUUACAUAAUUUUAACCAUAUUAUGUGCCUAUCUUUACAUUUUAAAAAUAUAAUUUCUACCCAAAAUAUAAUUUCUAUCCAGUUCUUACGUAAUGAUGUUAAACUGGACUUUUUUUUAGACAGCUGGAAACAAAUAAAACAUUAUUUUUUUUGUGAAAGUAAGAAUUUUGUGGAUUCCACUCCUUUUAUUGAGAAACAUUUAACUUCAAUCCCUCUUUAAUAUCCUACCGGCAUUUUUCCCCCAAACCAAUUCUUUAUAAUCUCAAUCUUUUGCCUGUUGAAGUCAAUGGAAGAACACAGUUUGAUUUCAUCAGAAAUUCCUGUCAGUUCCUGAAAAUUUAGAAUAUUUUCUCAUUCUUUUCCCUAUAAAACUCAUUCUACAUUUUAAGGUAUCCAUUUUGUAGUGCUCACCUAGAGACCAAACCUCACAACUCAGGAGUGUGAGUUCAGUUAAGGCUGGACAUUGACAGUUUUGUAAACCAUGUCAUCUACAUCUGAAUUUUUAAAAUUUCUUCCUAGCUAUGUUAAAGCAUUUGGCUGCAAAUCCAUCCCUCAGCUGGAUAAUUCCUGCAGGACACUCUCUGCUGGAAGGAAAUUGCUCUACCAGGACAACUAAGGCAGUUCACACCUUGAACUGUUAGGAAAUGAACCAUGGGUUUUCACAGUCCUUCUCUAAAAAGAGGUUUACACUGCUCACCUGGCAGCAGGUGCCCUCUCAUCCCUGUGCAGAACACUGGGCAGCAAAUGAGCAGGCUCUGCUUGGUUGUUGUUGUUGCCCCCACAUUGGCUUGAUGACAACUAGAUCUGAGCAUCAUUCUUGACCAAGUUACUUCCCCACACACCACAUUGACAGUGAAUUCCUUUUAUCACCUCAAUUAAAGGCACUCUUGAUCAAUAUAUUCAAGAUUCUGAUUUAUCUGGGAAUUCUCCAGUUCUAGUGUCCACAUUCAGUGUUUAUUGCUGGAGUCGUCUCCAAAGUUCCUUUCUACUGCAUUUUUUUCAUUCCCAAGAGAGACAAAGCAUAUUUUUAAAUAGGAGGCACUAUUCCUAGAGUCAUUCAGGCUGGGCAAGGGCUCAAGAGGUCUCUGAUCCCACCACUGCUCAGAGGAGAGUGAGUGCAGCAUUCAGAUCCCCAGGGAUCUGUGUGAAAUCAGGGACUCAGAGUGAAAGUUAUGAAAUUGAGGAAACUUUGGGCAUUUACUAUCAUCUCCAUAUAGUCAUCACUUGGCUAAUGGCAUUUUAAAACAUAUACAGGCUCAUGAGUCAUAGAUAAUGUACCUGUGUACUUGCCCAGCCAGUUGUUACUUUGAUUCACUUUAAUAACCCAUUUUUGCUCCAGUUUUUGUAUUUUACUCUUCACCUGCUGUCUUGCUCGCAUACAUGGAAAGAAAGAAAUGAAUUAAGUAGAAUCAGUCUGUACAAUCACAGCUGAAGCCUCCUGAGCUGGAAAAUUACUCACAUUUAUCUGCUGGCAUCUCUCCUCACAAAUCUUCUGCAGCAACAUCUCUCAAAUUUUCUUCUAAUUGAGCCAUUUUCUGACUUCUAGCAGUGAAUGGGAUGUAGUGAGACAGAGCCCAACUAACAUAUGAAAUUUGUCAUUAGCAGGAAUGGCAGUUUUCCUGGAAAAUUUUUGAUAAAGGUACAUUGAAAGUGCUGUUGGAGAAGUGCAAUUUACUGCAAGCCUGCAUUAAGCACUGACCUUCAUGCUACUCAGUACUAAGCCAAGAAGCAAAGAUGUUAAAAUACAAUGGAGGGCUUAUAUAGAAGUGACUGUAAUUAAAACUAUACCAGAUUUGGGCAACACCUGAGUAAGGUUUUAAUAAAAACAUGACUGUGUUGCUGAUAUUAAGAUUUAAAUCCCUCAGAAAAUCACAGACAUACUCACAGGGUCUAGUUCUCUAGGUAGCUAAAAUCACAUGUCCUUCUUUUCCUGCAUUAUGUUUCCAGCUGCAUUGUGCUUUCCCUUUUGUUUUUGCAAAUAGCUUAAUUCCACAACACCAUUUUUUUAUGGUCCAUUAGCAUGGAACUGCAGGUGCUCAUCAAAAAUUCUCAGUGUCACUAAGAGCACCCAUGACCUACUAAAAACACAUGAAGGAUAAUUUCAGGUAUGGCAAGGCUGUUUUACACUUGUGGGCAGAGAAUCCCUCCCUGACAGCUAAAAGACUCCAGUACUGCCAAAUGACAGCCUGUAUCCUUUCUGCUGGAAGAAAAAUUGCAGAAGUGUGAAAAUCAAAGUGAGCUGAAGAAGAACACAAAAAAUCAUUCUGCUGGGUUAAAGAAAAUGUUUCUUGUGCCCAGCACUGUGCUGGUGUCAUUAGCUGGGUUGUGCCCAGCAGAAAGCAAAUGAGAAGAGCAGUGCCCGCUCCUGAGCUGUGCACUCCAGACUCUGCCAGUCUGCAGGUUAAAGAAUUCCUGGGACAGAGGAUUCAGCUGUUCCUCAGUGUUUGGUGGACUUGGUUCAUGGCCUUUGUUUCAUCAGCUUUGUGCAUUUUGCAUCCAGAAAAUCCCACAGCAGCAAGUUCUACAGUGUAACCUGCUUUAUUCUUGAUGGAGUCUCUGCUCACCUGGGAUAUGUUGCUGGCUGCACUUAUUUGACACAGCCAGCCAUUCACAGACAUCUUUCCUGAAAAACAUCAGAAACAGCAGAAGCACUGGGACCCUGCAGUGCUGCACUGUGUGACCUUUCAGAAGUGGCAAUAACACAUUCAGAGAGCAGGCUGCACCGAUGGAACCCCAAAGCACUUUACAAAUUACAGAGAGAAGAAUCCUGUUAACUCCCUCCUGGAAAGCUGCCAUUCCUGCUCUGCUAGACAGCAGCUGCUUCACAGCCCACAGCAGCAUCCCCAGCAGUUCUGGAUGGACAGCAGGACGCAGGACAACACCCACGGAAUGGCAGGAGAAAAUAAACCAGGCAUGGUGUGGCUCCUUGGAUGGGGAAAUAAACCAUGGUGGGGCUCCUUGGGUUGGAUAAUGAACCAUGGUGUGGCUACUUGGAUUGGAAAAUGAACCAUGAUGGGACUCCUUGGGUUGGACAAUAAACCAUGGUGGGACUCCUUGGGUUGGAUAAUAAACCAUGGUGAGACUCCUUGGGUUGGACAGUGGUUCUGAUGGGUGCUUUUGGGGAAGGUUUCAAAGGAGGAUGGGUGAGAUUGUGUGGUGACUUCCCUGGGAUUUUUGAGUUAAUGGAAUAAAGGAGAGGAAUUAAUAAAGAUGAUUUUUCUAACAACACUUCUACAUCAGUAUGUCCAUCCCGCAGUUCUGGAUGGACAGCAGGACUCAGGACAACACCCACAGAAUAGCAGGAGAAAUGGCAGGCAUGGUGUGGCCCCUUGGAUUGGAAAAUAAACCAUGGUGGGACUCCUUGGGUUGGAUAAUAAACCAUGGUGGGACUCCUUGGGUUGGACAGUGAUUCUGAUGGGUGCUUUUGGGGAAGGUUUCAAAGGAGGAUGGGUGAGAUUGGGUGGUGACUUCCCUGUGGUUUUUGAGUUAAUGGAAUA
This is a non-coding RNA of Zonotrichia albicollis (white-throated sparrow), 5684 nucleotides long. The record is from RefSeq and is a predicted model, not a curated record. Lineage: Eukaryota; Metazoa; Chordata; Aves; Passeriformes; Passerellidae.